GCCUGCUUGGCGCAGUGGUAACGCGUAGCACUUGUAUGUAAACGAAAUGCUAAGAUCAUUGGUUCGAUUCCAGUAGUAGGCA
RNAcentral lists this transfer RNA (82 nucleotides) under Sclerotinia nivalis. It matches the Rfam family "tRNA". Rfam says of the family: Transfer RNA (tRNA) molecules are approximately 80 nucleotides in length. Their secondary structure includes four short double-helical elements and three loops (D, anti-codon, and T loops). Lineage: Eukaryota; Fungi; Ascomycota; Leotiomycetes; Helotiales; Sclerotiniaceae. The record is from Rfam by way of RNAcentral.